CUGCAUGACCGAGUGAUGGCCGUUUGUACUCUUUGAGUAGAAAUGGAGGAAAGUCCGGACAGCAGAGCGUAGGGUGUCCAGUGAAAGCUGGAGAUUUGGGAAACCAAAGACAGUUAGAGCAACAGAGACGAGUUCAUGCGCAAGCAUGAAGUGAAACGGGCAAUCCUCCCCGCUGCAACCACCGAGUUUCACCGCAAUGUAUACGCUCGCUUUCAUGGUGAUAAGGCCGUGGGCAUUAGAUAGAUCAUCACUUCAAACAGAAUCCGGCUUACGAGUCAUGCAGUGUU
Molecule: RNase P RNA, 287 nt
Filed under: Candidatus Woesebacteria bacterium
Lineage: Bacteria; Candidatus Woeseibacteriota
Description: RNase P RNA component class A
Rfam family: Bacterial RNase P class A
About the family: Ribonuclease P (RNase P) is a ubiquitous endoribonuclease, found in archaea, bacteria and eukarya as well as chloroplasts and mitochondria. Its best characterised activity is the generation of mature 5'-ends of tRNAs by cleaving the 5'-leader elements of precursor-tRNAs. Cellular RNase Ps are ribonucleoproteins.
Source: RNAcentral